UACAGAGGUGGCAAGCGUUGUUCGGAAUUACUGGGCGUAAAGGGCGCGUAGGCGGUCCGAUAAGUCCCGUGUGAAAUCCCUCGGCUCAACUGAGGAAUGGCACGGGAAACUGCCGGGCUUGAGUUCGGGAGAGGGAAGCGGAAUUCCGGGUGUAGCGGUGAAAUGCGCAGAUAUCAGGAGGAACACCAAUUGCGAAGGCAGCUCGCUGGGACGUUACUGACGCUGAGACGCGAAAGCGUGGGGAGCAAACAGG
RNAcentral lists this ribosomal RNA (253 nucleotides) under uncultured bacterium. RNAcentral's name for it is "partial 16S ribosomal RNA". It matches the Rfam family "Bacterial small subunit ribosomal RNA", at positions 524 to 776 of the family's 1533-position model. The record is from RNAcentral.